UUCACUUUAACCAUUGACGGAUAUUCUUGCUUUUGGUAUUCUACCCAGUAAAAAGGUAGUUGUAAUCCCUAUUUUGUUCCUCAGAGAGUUAAUCCUUGAUAUGUUCAUCUUAGCCGAUGACGUAUUUUCUUCUCCUUGUUGGUUUUCUACCUUGUAGCCGAUAGUUGUAAAUCCUACUUUUUCCGUGUGCAAAGUUUAUCCUUGAUAUGUUCACUUUAACCAGUGACAGAUUUUCUCUUCAUUGGUAUUCUAUCCAGUAACUGAUAGAUGUAAUCCCUAUUUUUG
This 285-nucleotide long non-coding RNA is filed under the name Lathyrus oleraceus (garden pea). RNAcentral's name for it is "Pisum sativum (pea) long non-coding RNA (PSAT_LNC042098)". Lineage: Eukaryota; Viridiplantae; Streptophyta; Magnoliopsida; Fabales; Fabaceae. The record is from RNAcentral.